CAUUCAGUAGCCUAGCUAUCUUGUUUACACCCUUGUUUUUUUGCGCACUUCACUGUAUCCCUCGGCGGGCUUGCUCGCCGUGUGGACAACAUUUAUAACCUUUUUUAAUCUUCAAUCAGUCGUCUGAAUUAUAUUUAAUAAUUA
This 144-nucleotide unclassified non-coding RNA is filed under the name soil metagenome. RNAcentral describes it as "partial internal transcribed spacer 1". The record is from RNAcentral.